Molecule: long non-coding RNA, 558 nt
Organism: Hemibagrus wyckioides
Lineage: Eukaryota; Metazoa; Chordata; Actinopteri; Siluriformes; Bagridae
Exons: 3
Source: RefSeq, a predicted model, not a curated record
GCUGACGUAGGGAAUGGCUAUUACACCAUAUACUAUGAAAAGCCUAUAUUGAUUAGCUUUAUUACAAGUCUUCUACCUCUGAAGGGUCUGCCUCUGUAAUAGUGCUGGCCCACCUGAGACUUGUUGAGGGGGUCUUGAGGCAGAGUAUACAGACUGGGCUGGUUACUGCAUGAGGAAUAAGAUUCUGGAUCAUGAAAGAAGGACAAGACCGCAGAUUCAACAAUGUCAGCAAUUGCCCUGGGAUAUUCUUUGUUUACUAGACCAUGCAGGACCAUGCAAGAGAAACCAUGUGAGCUGAACUGAGGGGGAAAAGAACAGAAACUUAACUGGAUUACUUGACUGAAAUAUAUUGGUCAAUCAACAAACAAAUCUGACAUUGUUACCUAGUGAAAAUGUAGGUGGAAUUCUGGACAAAAACAAACAAAAAAGGACUAGAGAAACUUAAUGCUAGAUUUCAUUGUAGUUAUAGGAACCCUGGUGAUUUCUGAUGAUUGCGUUCCCAUUGUAGAUACAGGAUGACCUAAGCAUGAGCACACUUAACUGGUCUGCAACUACAUA